AGUGCGCAGGCGCCGGCCGUGAGGACCGACAGUGCGCCGGGCUCGAGCUGGUCGGAGCGGCGGCAGCUGCGAGGACCCGCGGGCUGACUGACUGAUGGGCGGACAGGCCAUGUCGUCCUGCACCUGCUGAACUGUAGCGCCCAAGGAUGUCUGCGUUGAGGAAGGCCUUCCCACCACCUGAGGCUCGGCCAUAGCUCUGCCCGGUUUCCCAGCAGCUGCCAGUGAAUGCCCUCGGCCCGUGCUCAGCUCCGCCACCAUGGGGACUGCUCAGGUUUUACCUGGCAUUCUGCAGAAGCAUUGCUGUAUCUUACCGGACAGGAACACAGGU
Molecule: long non-coding RNA, 328 nt
Filed under: Sus scrofa (pig)
Lineage: Eukaryota; Metazoa; Chordata; Mammalia; Artiodactyla; Suidae
Description: lncRNA (ENSSSCG00035078818.1)
Source: RNAcentral